Molecule: non-coding RNA, 1939 nt
Organism: Anas platyrhynchos (mallard)
Lineage: Eukaryota; Metazoa; Chordata; Aves; Anseriformes; Anatidae
Source: RefSeq, a predicted model, not a curated record
UGAAAAUCUAUGACAGCAAUUUUGCCUUUUAGGUACUUUUCUUUUUUCUUUUAUUUAUUUCUUUUAUUUAUGUUUAUUUAUCUUAUUUUAACAGGCUCUGUACUAAUUUUCCUCACAGAAUGACUAGCAGAAAUAUGACCCUUAUGUGCCUUUUGUAAUUAAUUCAUUAGGUCAACUCUAACCACUAAGCCCCUUGUCAGGUUAUUUCUAUUAGCGAUAAGGAGCAAUUGAACCUAAAACAUUGAAGCCAGGUUGAUGAGCCUAUUCCACGAGGUCUCUUGGCUCCACCCUUGUGAGGUGAAAUCUGCCAGGUGGGGGGAUCAUUUGACCUUUGCUAUAUAGGAAGCAUGAGGAGUUAUGGGAAGAAUUGCCACUCCAGGAGAGUUUGAGGUUCAGGUUACUUAGGGUGCUUUUCUACUGUCCUGGUGAAAUGGACUCAGUGUUCCCCAGUAGGCUGCUUUUUCUUCAGGUUCUCUACUAUCUCUGUGAAAUAGUUUUUGAGACUCUAUGAGCUAGUUACAUUGGUGGUGACUUUUCAGUUUUCAGAACAGGAAAACCCUGGUGGUGCUACUUCCCUGUGAAGUAGUUUGGCAGUGACUCAAGUUCAGAAGAUGGCAGUGACGUUACUUACAUGGAUUCUCAGCUGGUCCCCGGUCCUGGUCCCUUCCUCAGAGCAGGCUGCCCAGGUUGGCAUCCAGACAGGCCUUGAAUAUGUCCAGAGAAGGAGACUCCUCAACCACCCUAGGCAACCUGUUCCAAUGCCCUGUCACCCUCACCGUUGGAAGGCUAUUAAUAAGGCUGUGAAAGAAGUUCAAUGAAAAAUGAACAAAAAAGAUGAUGGUUCCAACAUUUGUAGUAUUACCUAGUGUUUAUUUCAAGUCCAAUAUUCUACUUAUUCUAGUGUAACUGUGACUCCAGAUUUCUGUUUGAAUAGUUUUAUACCAGAUUACCAGAUUUCAAUUAAAACAAUGGAAAAUCCAAUGUGCAUUUGCCUGAUUUCAAUCCUUCACCCCCUUCUUUAUGCACACUUUUACUUUGCUAUCUGUCAUGCGAUCCUUCGUGUACCAGUGAAGAAUGAGGUAGGGAAGACCGAAGCUACAUCCUAAGCAAAGAGGAGGAAAAACCCUAGAGACAGAGGAGAAAGGCACAGAAGCAAUGACAGUGGCAGUACCUGAGAGCUUAAAACCAGCAAGAAAGCGUGUGUAUGGCUGUUGAGAGCUAUAGGAAGAUUCAGCCCUCCUGUUGAGGCCAAUGGGAGCUGAAGGAUGAGAUCCAGAGGAAACCGGCCAUAAGAAUGAAGGUGAAAAGUAAAAGGGACUGUGCCAAGCGGGACAUUGCCUACCUCAUUCAGCCUCAGAAAACCAGGAAUCCUCAUAUUUGGGGAUGCAACAUUUGUGUUCAGACCAGAAACGCGAUGCAUGUGUUCACCUAGCUUUCAAUAUUUCCAUCAAAAUACAUUCAGCUUAACGACUUAUUGUUUUUCUCAAACCAAGAGAGCAGACAGGAACAGUAGCAUGAGAAAAACUUUCCAAUUCACUGUGGUGUGUUUGAGCCCAGCAAUCUGAUUUCUGCAAUCAAUUAAUUCUGCUGAAUUCCUGAAGAAGUCAGUAAUUGAAACAAUAACAAAAGCUAAGAUAAAGUUAACAAACAACUGUGUUCAGUCUCAAAAAUUUGCAUAGUCUCUCCAGUAAAUGUGUAAUCUGGACAGUUGCAACAGCUACUGAAAGUUAGUUGUCUAGGCUGAAAGCAGGAGCUUGCUGCAUGUCUAGACAAAACUAGCCUGUGCCUCACAACUGCAUAAUGUUCAAAACAAACACCUCACCCGAGAUCUGCCAACAAAGAAUCAUUCAGAAAAUAAUUUCAAAGAAGAGAUAGCAUUUAAAAAAAAAAAAGGCAAAAAGCUUCCUACUUCAUAAAUAGAAGUCAGGGAGAAAUUAAA